CAUUUGGAACAAAUAUUAUUUUAAUUUUUUUUAAUUUACAUUUUAUGUUUUUGAGUGUAUAAGUGUUCAAGUUGAUAUUCAUUGAAUGUAAAGAAAAGUUUAAAUUGAUUGUAGAAAUAUUAUUGGCGCAAUCACGUAGAUGUUGAUUAGUUUUUAUUUUUUAAUUGAAAGUUUUAAUCAAUAUUAAAAUAUUUUUUCAGUAAAUAUGAUCAAU
This 214-nucleotide long non-coding RNA is filed under the name Lathyrus oleraceus (garden pea). Its description in RNAcentral is "Pisum sativum (pea) long non-coding RNA (PSAT_LNC003994)". The record is from RNAcentral. Lineage: Eukaryota; Viridiplantae; Streptophyta; Magnoliopsida; Fabales; Fabaceae.